Molecule: unclassified non-coding RNA, 144 nt
Filed under: uncultured Capnodiales
Lineage: Eukaryota; Fungi; Ascomycota; Dothideomycetes; Capnodiales
Also listed under: 1 other name
Description: sequence contains ITS2
Source: RNAcentral
ACACCCAUCAAGCCUGGCUUGGUCUUGGGCGACGGGACCUCCCCGCGCCCCGAUUUCGCCGGCUGGACGACCCCGCACUCUCAGCGUUGUGACGCACUGUCGCUGUCGAGGUGGGCGGCCACGCCGUUAACCCCAAUCAAAUCA